Molecule: ribosomal RNA, 742 nt
Filed under: uncultured bacterium
Lineage: Bacteria
Description: bacterial SSU rRNA
Rfam family: Bacterial small subunit ribosomal RNA
Source: RNAcentral
GACGAACGCUGGCGGCGUGCCUAACACAUGCAAGUCGAACGGAACUGUUUUGAAAGAUUUCUUCGGAAUGAAUUUGAUUUAGUUUAGUGGCGGACGGGUGAGUAACGCGUGAGUAACCUGCCUUCAAGAGGGGGAUAACAUUCUGAAAAGAAUGCUAAUACCGCAUGACAUAUCGGAACCACAUGGUUCUGAUAUCAAAGAUUUUAUCGCUUGAAGAUGGACUCGCGUCCGAUUAGUUAGUUGGUGAGGUAACGGCUCACCAAGACCGCGAUCGGUAGCCGGACUGAGAGGUUGAACGGCCACAUUGGGACUGAGACACGGCCCAGACUCCUACGGGAGGCAGCAGUGGGGGAUAUUGCGCAAUGGGGGCAACCCUGACGCAGCAACGCCGCGUGAAGGAUGAAGGUUUUCGGAUUGUAAACUUCUUUUAUUAAGGACGAAAAUUGACGGUACUUAAUGAAUAAGCUCCGGCUAACUACGUGCCAGCAGCCGCGGUAAUACGUAGGGAGCAAGCGUUGUCCGGAUUUACUGGGGUGUAAAGGGUGCGUAGGCGGCUUUGCAAGUCAGAUGUGAAAUCUAUGGGCUCAACCCAUAAACUGCAUUUGAAACUGUAGAGCUUGAGUGAAAGUAGAGGCAGGUGGAAUUCCCCGUGUAGCGGUGAAAUGCGUAGAGAUGGGGAGGAACACCAGUGGCGAAGGCGGCCUGCUGGGCUUUAACUGACGCUGAGGCUCGAAAGCAUGGG